AUUGGGACAUGUUGAUUGAUGUUGUAAGAUAAAAUAUUCGUGACCAACUAUAUUCAUUGGGUUUGGCUUGUCGAACCCGUACUACUGCUGCUGCAGUCAGCCAACAAUGAUUAGCAUUUUGCUGAAAUUGCUGCUGGCCUGCUACUGCCUCUGCACGAGCUGAGCGCCUGCUGCUGACGUCACCACUCACGUUGCACUAUUGCAGCCAGGCACGUGUGUUGUGACUGAGUAAAUCGUUUUUGUGUUAUUUAGAGGGAAAAUGCGUGCAUUUUAGCGUUUGAGUCACUGUGUUUUUGACCAACUCGUAAAACAGCUGGAGGAAACAAUGCUCUACAUCACAUGUUUACGAGGAAGUCCAAAAGUUCAAAAUUAAGAUACUUCAGCAGAAACAGGAGAGCUUUUUGGGAUACCAGACCAAGCAUCUGAUGGACAAACAAUUGUCAGCACAACGGUCCAAGCAGCAACAGGACUUUGUGAAGUUCUAUGACACUGUCAUUACAUACAUUGACAAGUGGUUUGAUUUUUCGCCAGAAAAUGAAACCGAUCGGCCUCUAUGAGGAGCUCUCCUUCACUGACCUGGAGCAGGUGGUGGUUGCCCUCAAAAUGACAGUCGGUAUGGACCAACUCUAAUGAAGAGUUUUGUGCUAGCCUGGAGGAAAUACAGAAAGCCAGACAGGAUACCACAAAAUCCACCAGUGAGAACUAGGGACAAAGGACUGCUUUGAAUCAGUCAAGAGCAGCAAAAUAUAAGUAGACUUAGGAUGUUGGCCUUUGGAGCAUGGGGCUGAUGACAAUGCUCAGGAAAAAAAUGAGGCCUCAUCUCCCUGCACAACUCAGCCUCAUACGGGCACAUGCAUAUUGCGGCCUUCCUGAUCAAGUUCAAUACCCAAGUGAACGAAACAGACAAGUGAGCCUUCAACCCUCUCCACAAGGACCUGAGCCCUAGGACCAUGCCCCAGGACUACCUGACAUGAUGACUCCUUGCUGUCCCCAGUCCACCUGGCCAUGCUGCUGCUCCAGUUUCAACUGUUCUGCCUUACUAUUAUUCAACCAUGCUGGUCAUUUAUGAACAUUUGAACAUCUUGGCCACGUUCUGUUAUAAUCUCUACCCGGCACAGCCAGAAGAGGACUGGCCACCCCACAUAUGCUCUCUCUAAUUCUCUCUUUCUUUCUCUCUCUCGGAGGACCUGAGCCCUAGGACCGUGCCCCAGGACUACCUGACAUGAUGACUCCUUGCUGUCCCCAGUCCACCUGACUGUGCUGCUGCUCCAGUUUCAACUGUUCUGCCUUAUUAUUAUUCGACCAUGCUGGUCAUUUAUGAACAUUUGAACAUCUUGGUCAUGUUCUGUUAUAAUCUCUACCCGGCACAGCCAGAAGAGGACUGGCCACCCCACAUAGCCUGGUUCCUCUCUAGGUUUCUUCCUAGGUUUUGGCCUUUCUAGGGAGUUUUUCCUAGCCACCGUGCUUUUACACCUGCAUUGUUUGCUGUUUGGGGUUUUAGGCUGGGUUUCUGUACAGCACUUUGAGAUAUCAGCUGAUGUACGAAGGGCUAUAUAAAUAAAUUUGAUUUGAUUUGAUAAAAGGUCGAAAGUGGGAACAAAAAAAAUGUAGUACUUACGAUUCUGUCCAAUCUUCACAAAAUUCAUCAGGGAUGAAUUGUGUAAGGCUGGAUGGCGAACAAUGCAUUUCAAUGUGACUCUCCUCUUGUAGGACUGAACAUGCAAGAUAUCCAGGGAGGAAUAUGUGUUUUUGUCCAACAGAUACUGAGGCUGAGCUAAAUAACAGCAGAGAGGUUCAAUUAACUUUUGACUGAAAGUGUAAAAAUUGAAUAUGUAAAAGAACAUUAACAACCAUCAUCCUUAUAAUAGCUGACCUGCACUUUACAGGGAAAAUACAGACAUUUCACUUCUCUUUAUUUUGGAAGAGAUAAAGGGGAAUGUGUGUGGGAUUUGGUUUCACAGGGGAAGUCUAAACCAUUUUAAGGCAUUUCAUUUUUUAUAUUUUCUAUAUCUCAUCACACAAUUCUCAGUCUCCUACUCCAAGUAUUUUCCUAUUCUAUUUUUCACUUGUUUUAUAUUUAUAAUUCCCACAAGCCACGACAAUGGCUGUUAUUAUUUGUCAAAUACGGUAGUGAAUGACAGGGCAGGGAAGCGAACCCAGGUUAGUGGCAUGAGAGGCAAACACCCUACACAUCGUGCCAAUAUGGUUAAUCCACUUGGUGGGAAAUUGUAAUGUGGCUCAUAUAGCAAGGAUUGCUACUCUGCCCCCUCUGAACGGAAAGGUACAUCUUUGUGUUUCAACCUACCGCUAACCCUUCAUACGUCCGGCCGUGUGUUACGAUAGCCUCACAGCCGUCAUUGCACUUCUGACACCAAUGUAGGGAAACGUGACUCAUAUAGCUAGGAUCGCCACAAUACUAAUAUGGGACUACACAAUUCAGUUUGACUCUUCACUCUUCCUAAUGGUUAUGGAAUAGGUUAGGUAGUUUAGUUCUUAGGAGCACAAUUAGACACCACUACCCCUUCCACACUCCAUCCCCAGGUGGCAGUAGCAACUGGGUCAGGGGGUGUGCUCUGAUAGGAAGUCUUAAGUGUUGGUUGUGCACAGGUGUGCACAGUAAUCGAUUCUAAACAAUCUGAUAGCUGCAUAGAUUUUUUUAUGAACUGGCGAUAGUUCGAGUUUAAAGUGGAGGGAGUGCAGGGUUUAGCAGGUCUCUCAAGUAAGCUAAAAAGAGGUUUCGGAUUGGAAAAGUUAAAUAUUUUCAGAAGAAGUCGGUAAUUGGUUAAGGCAGGAGGAUUUGGAGGGAAAGAGAGGAGGUUGAAAAGACUGAGGGAGGCAGAGGAUGGGUUUAUAUUUGUUGAAGCUAGCAAUAACAAGGGAGAGGGUAUGUUGAGGAAGAUUUGUGUCAAGAUCAAACAGUGAGCCAGAUGCCAGUUUUGAGUUCUGGAGGAAAAAUGGAAGGGGUAGAAGGUGUUGUAAGACAUGGUGAUGAUAAAGACAAGGGAUAGGCCAAUGAGUGAUCUAUGUUUCAGUAAGGUUGGCUUCUUAGCGUUCAUAGCAAUGGUUAUCAACUGUACCGCAGAGAUGAAACGUAAGUCACAGAUGCAGAGAAGUACUUGGGGCUGCGUGAUUUGACUUCAGACUGCGUGGCAGGUUGACCAGCUGUUACUCAUAAUCGGUCGACCUCUAGUCGGUAAUGCAACAUAUUGGAUGCCAACUGUCGUUGAACUCCACCAAAGAAGAAGGUGUGGCAGCUGGCAGAGCCAUGAGGCUGCUGGAGUUUAGUGCCCAUGUGAACCUUUGGUUUGGUUUGAGUCUUUAUGUUUUCGGCAUGCCAUGUUUUUUCAUUUUUUGUGUGUAUACAAUUAUUUGUUGGUCAUGCACCGUUUUUGUUUACAUAAAUCACUUGGGCUGGCCGAGCAAGGAGUCAAGACAGAGCUGGCCCUGAACUUUAAGUUUGCCGUCUCCUGGAGCACAUGCAUUCAACACCUUUUCACAUGAAUUUUGGCGUCAUAAAACCUAUGAAAUAAAUCUAGAAUGAAGGACACUUACCAUAUAUUUCUAACCCACUCUCCAACAGCCAUGAGAUUUUGGGAGGAUGGCCAUUUCCCACUGCAGAACAUUUUAUGGCAGUCUUUCCAUUGUGUUCUGUUAUCUCCAAUUUUGGCUUACCUUGACAAUGACAAAAAGAGUGAUGUUAUGAUUUUUGGUUUCAACUUAAUUUGUUGGAAGUGGGAACAAGCCAAGCACUCUACCUCCUGUGCCAAUAUGAAUAUUCUACUAAAUUAAGGGGAAGGCUGUGUGCUUUCUUAAUCCCUAUAAAACAGUGCUAUUACAAUAUGUUACACUUACCCAAAACUGUCACAUUAACCCACUUCACUACAGGUACUUUGUGAAUGUAAUGUAAACAUGUGUAGAGGCCUCCAUCUUUGAAGGUGACAUCAGACACACUGACUGAAAAAACGGAGUCAGACAAGUUUAUUAUCUUGUAGCGCUUGUCCUUCAGGGCUGUUAGUGAAGAUGGGGGAGAGAGGAGGCAUGUCACAAUAUAACUCAACUACUUAAGAUCCGAACAAAGAUGUUACAAUAUGAGUAGGAACAAACAUAUUUACUUGUAUCAUGUACAACUAUUAUCAUUCUAGACAGCAUUUCAUGGUAAAGUCUACACCCGUUGUGACAAAUACAAUUUAAUUUGAAUUUUAAUCAGCUUUCGACAUGAAUAAAAUCAACUCCUGUAUGUCUAAUUUACUGGGCAUCCAGUCUACUUUCAAAUUAAGAUACUGCUUUGUUUUAGUAUAUAAAAUACAUCUUAAUAAAUAUCUAUAGGUGGUAUUAUAAGAUCCUCACCCUUCUGGUUAUUAAAAAACAUAACAUGCCCAUCAGGAUUCUUCCAUUCCACGUGGCUCCCUUCGGCAUUUCUAAUGCGACACUUCAUGGUUAGUGUCUCACCCUCCAUCACAGUCAAAUGUUCCACUGCAAUGGAUCCUGCAAUGGUAAAUUCCAAGGAUUUAGUAUAGGACAUACUUUGAUUGACAUGAUGGAAGGUUCCAACAUGUGUGAGAGCAAAAUUACAAGAUUAUGUUAUAAAUACUGUUAUUCCAUCAAAUGGUUGUUUUAUGCAACAGGGGGUUCUUAGAACUUAAUUGUGUCUGUGUGAACUGAGAUUGGGCCUCUGGGGGCUUAAUGCUGACAGAAGAUGUACAAUGCCUUAGGUGAUAAAGCAAACAAUUCCAUAGCAUGAGUUGGUGUUUGUGUGCUGGGAGGUACCAGGGUAGAGAUGACUCCAGUAUGGAUAAUUAUGAGAGGAACCUUGUUUUGGGAGCCAGGCCCUGGUUUCUAUACAAUGAGAACAGUCUUAACUGCAGGUGCUGUCUGUGAAUUAUUAGUAUCUUUCAUAGGAAUCCCAACCUUGUGACCCAUUCCACACUUCUUUUGUUUGUCAUGUAGACUAAGGGGGUGUAUCUUUGCUAUAAAAAGGUGUUGUAUUCUUUGUGUCGGGGCUCUCAAUGAAUCAUCUAAGAGUGAUUCGUCGACCAGCCAUCGUUAUUGUAGAGCACUCACAUCAUUCACUUGUGGGUGUGGUGUGACAUGCUUUCCUUAUAAAUACGUGAAUAAAGAUUUAGUUUAAGUAUAA
Molecule: long non-coding RNA, 5134 nt
Organism: Oncorhynchus nerka (sockeye salmon)
Lineage: Eukaryota; Metazoa; Chordata; Actinopteri; Salmoniformes; Salmonidae
Exons: 5
Source: RefSeq, a predicted model, not a curated record